UUAUGGCUCAGGAUGAACGCUGGCGGCGUGCUUAACACAUGCAAGUCGAACGAAGCGGCUUCUUGCUGCAAGAAAGCUGACUUAGUGGCGGACGGGUGAGUAACGCGUGGGUAACCUGCCUCAUACAGGGGGAUAACAGUUGGAAACGACUGCUAAGACCGCAUAACCCGCUAGUGUCGCAUGACACGGACGGAAAAAUAUUUAAUUUUAACGAGUUAAAAUUUGGUAUGAGAUGGGCCCGCGUCUGAUUAGCUAGUUGGUAAGGUAACGGCUUACCAAGGCGACGAUCAGUAGCCGACUUGAGAGAGUGAUCGGCCACAUUGGGACUGAGACACGGCCCAAACUCCUACGGGAGGCAGCAGUGGGGAAUAUUGGACAAUGGGGGAAACCCUGAUCCCAGCGACGCCGCGUGAGUGAAGAAGUAUUUCGGUAUGUAAAGCUCUAUCAGCAGGGAAGAUAACGACAGUACCUGACUAAGAAGCCCCGGCUAACUACGUGCCAGCAGCCGC
Molecule: ribosomal RNA, 509 nt
Filed under: uncultured bacterium
Lineage: Bacteria
Description: bacterial SSU rRNA
Rfam family: Bacterial small subunit ribosomal RNA
Source: RNAcentral